AAUAACCAAAAAUCACGGAGGGGUCUAAGGUAGGAUUGCUGACAACGCGCACAUUUUGUACUACAGGGUCAUAAAUUCCUCCUAAGAUCGUGGCUUUGGCCACAAGGAGAAACGCGCCUAUACCGAGUAAGACCAGAUGAAUACCAAGAAUCGUAGUCAUUUUGUUGGCAUCAUCCCA
Molecule: antisense RNA, 178 nt
Filed under: Roseofilum reptotaenium AO1-A
Lineage: Bacteria; Bacillati; Cyanobacteriota; Cyanophyceae; Desertifilales; Desertifilaceae
Description: Antisense RNA which regulates isiA expression
Rfam family: Antisense RNA which regulates isiA expression
Source: Rfam by way of RNAcentral